Molecule: long non-coding RNA, 2227 nt
Organism: Bos taurus (domestic cattle)
Lineage: Eukaryota; Metazoa; Chordata; Mammalia; Artiodactyla; Bovidae
Source: Ensembl
CAGCAGGACCCCGACUGCCCCCUUUUAAACCAAAGCCAGAACCAGAAAGAGGUCAGAUAUGUGGAGAGUUUGCUGCUGUUGUUGCUUAGUCACUAAGUCACCGCCGACUGUGUUGCAACCCCACAGACUGUAUCCUGGGUUUUGCUGAUAGCUCAGAUGGUAAAGAAUCCACCUGCAAUGCAGGAGACCCCAUUUCGAUCUCUGUAUCAGGAAGAUCCCCUGGAGAAGGGCAUGGCAACCCACUCCAGUAUUCUUGCCUGGAGAAUCUCAUGGAUGGAGGAGCCUAGCAGCUACAGUCCAUGAGGUCGAAAAGUGUCAGACACAACUGAGCAACUAAGCACAGCACAGCACAGACUGUAGCCUGCCAGGCUCCUCUGAUCACGGGACCUCCCAGGCAAGAAUACUGGAGUGGGUUGCCAUUUCCUUCUCUGGGAUAUCUUCCUGGACCAGAGAUCGAACCCAGGUCUCCUGCAUUGGCAGGUGUGUUUUUUACCACUGAGCCACCAGAGUAAGCCCAUGUAGAUAGUGGUUGACCUCAUUUUAGACUAAGGUGGGUUGGUUCCAAUGUUUCCAAGUGCACUCCAAGACGAGAUAAAAAUGUAGUCCUCUCUGUUGUCAGGAUGAUCAGAAAAUCCGUGUGGUGACACGUCAGCAAGCUCAAGGGCUCUGUAGGCAGUGCCUUCCACUUUUUCUAAGAUACUGCAAGCAUGUGCACUUUUCCACAGGCUGAUGUUGAACAUCCUCUAAAUUACAGCUGUGGAAGCCGAACCACGUGUGAGGCCCCGAGCCACAGCAUCCUUCUGGCUCUGGAAACCCAAGUGGGUCACCCUUCACUAUGCUUCUUGGCCCAAGAAGUCACUGCAAAGCAGCAGGUGGACUGGGAGCAGAGCAUUCUCCCUUCACUCCCAAUUGCAGGUGAAGCACCCUGAGGCCUUCGACUUUGAUGCUUACUGUGAAAAAAGAAAGGAAGGGAGCCUCUGAAAAGAGAUCUUGCAAGACUUUUAAGCAAAUGUCCUCGGAUGCACUCUGCCUAAGCUCAGAAGACACCAAAAAGCACAGCGUCAUCGCAUCCUCCCGCAUCCUCAUCUCCCUCGCUCCCAGACCCAGCCAGGAGGAACCGGACAAAUUUUUUCGGGUGCUAGGUAGUUUUUGGCUUAGAAGGAGGAACAGAUACUUUGGCCAUCUGAUGCAAAGAAAGGACUCAUUUGAAAAGACCCUGAUGCUGGGAAAGACUGAAGGCGGGAGAAGGGGACGACAGAGGAUGAGAUGGUUGGAUGGCAUCACCAUUCAACGUGAGUUUGAGCAAACUCCGGGGGACAGUGAAGGACAGGGAAGCCUGGCGUGCUGCGGUCCGUGGGGUCUCAAAGAGUUGGAACUGAACUGAAGGAACAGAUGUCUUCUGUCUUUUGUUUUUGUUGUUGUUGCUGUUGUUUUUGGUAGUGCCUCUUUAUCCACCUACCCAACACAUACACAGAGUUUUGGGCCUGUAAUAAGUGAUCAAUAAUUGUUGGAUUGGAUUGAGCUGAGCUGAGUAGAUUUAAAUUGAAUAGAGCUGGACCUACAAAACACUCAGAAUUGCACUAACAGCAGUAGCGUGAUGGCAUUUUUUCUGUGGUACAUCUGAUAGCUCUGUUUGCCCGGUGUGUCCAUUUUCCCUUAGCAUAGAACAGCACCUGAUUUGCAACCAGAGGAUCACCCUCCCCUACUCACUGUCCAAGGGAUUCACAUACAUGGCUGCAAGGCCACAGCUAGUCCACAGGAUACCUUUGUGCAAAUUAAAGUCAUACACCCCUUCCUCCAGGCAGAACACCAGGCUUGCCCAGCAAGUAGCUGGUGCUGCACUGCCUGGUCAGCUGGAAGUUAUACAUGGUUCACAAUUAGCCUCAGUCGUUCUCAUUUGCAGCAGUACACUUACUCACACUGGCCAAUCAGCCCAUUCAACUUCUCAGGCCACAGUAAAGAGUUUCAGAAACAGAAAUGUGAACUGAGUUGAGCUUAUGAAAGUUAGCCAGAGAACUUUAGCUGGAAUUAUAGAAAUGAGGCAUUCUUACUUUCUGGUGGAAUGAUUAAAUGGCGGCAUACAGAUUUGGAGCUGCACUUGACUAUCAUCAUCAUCAUCAAUGAGGAAGAGUCAGCAAAAGGUGCAUGAGAUGGAAUCAAUGACAGAUUAUGAAUCGUAUCCUAUGAGUACCUGGAUUCAGUCAUGUCUGAAUCAAAUCACCUUUUC